CGCCCUUAGAGUUUGAUCCUGGCUCAGAUUGAACGCUGGCGGCGUGCCUAACACAUGCAAGUCGAGCGGCAGCGCGGGGCAACCUGGCGGCGAGCGGCGGACGGGUGAGUAACGCUUGGGAAUCUGCCUAUUAGUGGGGGACAACCCGGGGAAACUCGGGCUAAUACCGCAUACGCACUACGGUGGAAAGCCGGGGACCGCAAGGCCUGGCGCUAAUAGAUGAGCCCAAGUCGGAUUAGCUAGUUGGUAGGGUAAUGGCCUACCAAGGCGACAAUCCGUAGCUGGUCUGAGAGGACGACCAGCCACACCGGAACUGAGACACGGUCCGGACUCCUACGGGAGGCAGCAGUGGGGAAUAUUGGACAAUGGGGGCAACCCUGAUCCAGCGACGCCGCGUGGGUGAAGAAGGCCUGCGGGUUGUAAAGCCCUUUCGGUGGGGAAGAAAAGUUUCGACCUAACACGUCGGGACCUUGACGUAACCCACUAAAGAAGCACCGGCUAACUCUGUGCCAGCAGCCGCGGUAAUACAGAGGGUGCGAGCGUUAAUCGGAAUUACUGGGCGUAAAGCGCGCGUAGGCGGCUCUGCAAGCCGGAUGUGAAAUCCCCGGGCUUAACCUGGGAACUGCAUUCGGGACUGCAUUGCUAGAGUAUGGGAGAGGGAAGUGGAAUUUCACGUGUAGCGGUGAAAUGCGUAGAUAUCUGAAGGAACAUCAGUGGCGAAAGCGACUUCCUGGACCAAUACUGACGCUCAUGUGCGAAAGCGUGGGGAGCAAACAGAUUAGAUACCCUGGUAGUCCACGCCAUAACGAUGAGACUGGAUGUCGGGAGGUCUGCCUCUCGUGUCGUAGCUAACGCGUAAGUCUCCGCCUGGGGAG
RNAcentral lists this ribosomal RNA (875 nucleotides) under uncultured bacterium. RNAcentral's name for it is "bacterial SSU rRNA". It matches the Rfam family "Bacterial small subunit ribosomal RNA", at positions 1 to 880 of the family's 1533-position model. The record is from RNAcentral.